This 465-nucleotide ribosomal RNA is filed under the name uncultured bacterium. RNAcentral describes it as "partial 16S ribosomal RNA". It matches the Rfam family "Bacterial small subunit ribosomal RNA", at positions 28 to 507 of the family's 1533-position model. The record is from RNAcentral.
GACGAACGCUGGCGGCGUGCUUAACACAUGCAAGUCGAACGGAAAGGCCCUGCUUGCAGGGUACUCGAGUGGCGAACGGGUGAGUAACACGUGGGUGUUCUGCCCUGCACUUCGGGAUAAGCCUGGGGAACUGGGUCUAAUACCGGAUAGGAGCCAUUUUGAGUGUGAUGGUUGGAAAGUUUUUUCGGUGUAGGGUGAGCUCGCGGCCUAUUAGCUUGUUGGUGGGGUAAUGGCCUACCAAGGCGGCGACGGGUGGCCGGCCUGGGAGGGUGGACGGCCGCAUUGGGACUGAGGUUCGGCCCAGACCCCUACGGGGGGCAGCAGGGGGGAAUAUUGCACCAUGGGGGCGAGCCUGGUGCAGCGACGCCGCGUGGGGGAUGAAGGCCUUCGGGUUGUAAACUCCUUUCGCUAGGGACGAAGCUUUUUGUGACGGUACCUAGAGAAGAAGCACCGGCUAACUACGUG